CGGGUUAAUAUUCCCGUACUUGGUGUUACUGCGAAGGGGGGACGGAGAAGGCUAUGUUGGCCGGGCGACGGUUGUCCCGGUUUAAGCGUGUAGGUGUGUGUUCCAGGUAAAUCCGGUUCACUUUAACACUGAGGCGUGACGACGAGGCACUACGGUGCUGAAGCAACAAAUGCCCUGCUUCCAGGAAAAGCCUCUAAGCAUCAGGUAACAUCAAAUCGUACCCCAAACCGACACAGGUGGUCAGGUAGAGAAUACCAAGGCGCUUGAGAGAACUCGGGUGAAGGAACUAGGCAAAAUGGUGCCGUAACUUCGGGAGAAGGCACGCUGACACGUAGGUGAAGUGAUUUACUCAUGGAGCUGAAGUCAGUCGAAGAUACCAGCUGGCUGCAACUGUUUAUUAAAAACACAGCACUGUGCAAACACGAAAGUGGACGUAUACGGUGUGACGCCUGCCCGGUGCCGGAAGGUUAAUUGAUGGGGUCAGCGCAAGCGAAGCUCCUGAUCGAAGCCCCGGUAAACGGCGGCCGUAACUAUAACGGUCCUAAGGUAGCGAAAUUCCUUGUCGGGUAAGUUCCGACCUGCACGAAUGGCGUAAUGAUGGCCAGGCUGUCUCCACCCGAGACUCAGUGAAAUUGAACUCGCUGUGAAGAUGCAGUGUACCCGCGGCAAGACGGAAAGACCCCGUGAACCUUUACUAUAGCUUGACACUGAACAUUGAGCCUUGAUGUGUAGGAUAGGUGGGAGGCUUUGAAGUGUGGACGCCAGUCUGCAUGGAGCCGACCUUGAAAUACCACCCUUUAAUGUUUGAUGUUCUAACGUGGACCCGUUACCCGGGUUGCGGACAGUGUCUGGUGGGUAGUUUGACUGGGGCGGUCUCCUCCUAAAGAGUAACGGAGGAGCACGAAGGUUGGCUAAUCCUGGUCGGACAUCAGGAGGUUAGUGCAAUGGCAUAAGCCAGCUUGACUGCGAGCGUGACGGCGCGAGCAGGUGCGAAAGCAGGUCAUAGUGAUCCGGUGGUUCUGAAUGGAAGGGCCAUCGCUCAACGGAUAAAAGGUACUCCGGGGAUAACAGGCUGAUACCGCCCAAGAGUUCAUAUCGACGGCGGUGUUUGGCACCUCGAUGUCGGCUCAUCACAUCCUGGGGCUGAAGUAGGUCCCAAGGGUAUGGCUGUUCGCCAUUUAAAGUGGUACGCGAGCUGGGUUUAGAACGUCGUGAGACAGUUCGGUCCCUAUCUGCCGUGGGCGCUGGAGAACUGAGGGGGGCUGCUCCUAGUACGAGAGGACCGGAGUGGACGCAUCACUGGUGUUCGGGUUGUCAUGCCAAUGGCACUGCCCGGUAGCUAAAUGCGGAAGAGAUAAGUGCUGAAAGCAUCUAAGCACGAAACUUGCCCCGA
RNAcentral lists this ribosomal RNA (1393 nucleotides) under Salmonella enterica subsp. enterica serovar Muenchen. RNAcentral's name for it is "partial 23S ribosomal RNA". It matches the Rfam family "Bacterial large subunit ribosomal RNA", at positions 1426 to 2802 of the family's 2925-position model. The record is from RNAcentral. Lineage: Bacteria; Pseudomonadati; Pseudomonadota; Gammaproteobacteria; Enterobacterales; Enterobacteriaceae. RNAcentral also lists the same sequence under 1 other name.